RNAcentral lists this long non-coding RNA (2589 nucleotides) under Apis dorsata (giant honeybee). Its description in RNAcentral is "uncharacterized LOC116184988, transcript variant X2". Lineage: Eukaryota; Metazoa; Arthropoda; Insecta; Hymenoptera; Apidae. The record is from RNAcentral.
ACCAUGCAAGUAUUACACAAUUUAUUCUUUUUUUUUUAGACAAUUAUUUAUAUUUCUUCUAUUCUAAUAGACAAUCUGACAAUGAAAAUGGUUUUGCUGUCUCUAAUGCGAUAGUAACGGAAGUAACCUUUUAUUAUGUCCAAAUGCUCGAGUCUGAAAAAUUACGUAAAAUCAGCGGAUUGUGUGACGUAACGAAGAAACGCAAAACAAAACGAAUAUCACGAAGUUUAUCCUUUAACAAUGAAUCAUCUUUUAUAUUUUUUUUCUUUCUUUCGUCAGGCCACAAUAUUUCCGGUAAGUAUCAAACAUUCUUAAAUUUCCAUUUUGUGUUGACAAAUAGAAUCCUUUUGAUUUCGAUCUCCAAGAGAUCUCGUAUAGGAACAAGGAAGGUCGAAAAAGAAAGGCUAUUUCCUUGGGAAGCAGUUGAUCAUAUCUCGAAUGAGAUUUCUACACGAUGAAUACGAUCGAAACAAUAAUUAAUGAUUUGCAAAUCGAUCAUGAUUUAAACUUACAGAUUGCGAAUUUAUUCGUAUUAUUUGACGAAUUUUUUUGACGUAUUAUUGAUAUUCAUGUUACAUUGUCAUUGAUUUCAAUAAAAUAGAUUUAUCAUUUCAAUUUCUAUAUUGAAAUUAAUGUGAUAAUAAUUCAAUGAUUCGAUGCAUUCUAUUUCCCAAGUACAAGGCCAUUGGAAUUCAAAGAAUUACAUCUUCUUUUCGCAUCUUGGAAUCUUUGCAUGAUAAUAUUCGUAACGGAACACGUGGUUGUUAAAAAGCGUCUCAUGAAGCGGAGUCAGAACAACCAAAAGCGGCGUACAAAGGAUGAGGAAAGAAGCGGUUGAACCUUUUAUCAACUCCAGAUCGUUGUCCAUGAACCUCGGAGUGCUGUUUCUUGUGAAAAAGAAACCUGUUAGUCUAUUUACUUCUGAAACUUCCUUCUCUUCAAUUCGAGCUCUAUAAUCAGAAAAUAUCGUCAAACCAGAGUAACUUCUAAGCCCGAGUAAUUCUUGUGAUGCAGCAUGCAUCCACGAGACGUGAUGAAAAUUAAGAAGAAAAAAGACGAACGAGGAUUGCGUGUAUCAUUUGCGUAAAUUUCGCAACGAUGCUAUUAUACCGUCUCGCGUUGCAAAAAGAAUCUUAAAAGGAGGAUAGUAAUUAAUUGUUAGAGUUAUCCAAUGCAUUCUGAAUUAAUACUAAUUAAUUUUUUUUUUUCAGAGAGAUGAUUGUCCAUUUAUGAAAAAUGCAAAUAUUCUUUACAAAAAAUUUAUAUAGGAUAUAAAUUGAUGAAAAAGAUUAUUCUUACGUUAAAAAACAAUACUUUAGAUUGUAAUUUUCCUUGUGGUAAAAGCAACAAACUUGUGCAACCCUAAAGCGAAGAACGUCAAGCGAAGAAAUCGUUCCUAGGAAGUUGAGGACAUCAUGGAGAUCCAACGGAACAACAUUUAGCGAGGACAUUACAACGUGUUUCAUUAUUUUUCAAGGAGCCAAAGUCGUCGAUUCUCUGUUCUCUCUCUUUAUCUCUUUCGCUCUUUAGCUGUUCAUGUUUCUCUAUGGAAACGAUGCCCGAAGCACGUUUUACUUGGUUAACGACCCUUUCGUGCCAGCGAAUAAAUUCCAACUGCCCACGUAGACUACUAUAUUUAUUGAGUCUCUGGGAUCGAUGUUAAAGAGGGGCAUAAAGUAGUCAAAGAUCAAGUUCAAGAGCGACAGAUCGGCGAUCAGAUUACGAAAAAGGUAAGAAGAAAUCUUCUCGAAGAUAGCUCUUCUCUGGGCCAAGGACUUUUUCAAAAAUUUGCAUCCGUCUAAUUUAUGUUUCUUUAUCUUCGAUCUAAAUGCUCCUUAUGAAAUCGGUUUUUUUAGAUCGUAAACAAUUCAACAACUCUUUACCACAUAAUUUCUUUUUCAGACAUAUAAUUAGUCGUUGAUUGGAUUGUUCUGACGAGAUCAAGAUGACAUAAAUAACGUCGAGUGUGCUACUGUAGGUUGAAUUAAAAAAUUCUAGAUGAAGAUAGACAAAUUUUUAUAUUUAUAGACUAAAAAGCCAAAUUUGUCAGCGUGAAAAAUUAUCCUCGAAUUUAUGAAAGAUAUCAAAUAUCAAAAGAUUUGAAAGUAAAACUCAAUGAAAAAGUAACUGGCAACACAGAGGAGGCUGAAUUUACCGGUUAACUGUAUCUGAAUCAUAAAGUCGGCUGCUACGAGAAUCAAAAGAUUCGAAUGAAAGUUUGAAGAAUUUCCUUAUUUGACCUUAUACGAGGAUUUUUAAAAUUGACGAAAGAUAAUUGAAAUAUGUUGUUUUGAAUUAAAUUUUUUCAGGUUAAUUAGAUUUUAUAUUAAUUUUUUAAAGUAAGAGUAAACAUUUCGUAAUUUUUAAGAGAUUAAUUAGGUAAGAAUUAUUUAUUUUGACUUUAUUUGGGUUCUACUAUGUCAUAAAAUUAAUUAGCUCUGACUAGACGGUAUUUAACAAAAGAUUAAGAUUAAAAUGAAAAAUGUGAGACUUUUACCAUAUCGCAUAUUAUCAAUUGUAUCUUCUUUAGAAAAAUAUCAAUAUAUUACAAACAAUGCAAAUAAUGCAGAUUAAAUGUGCAUUAAAUGA